CAGGAUGAACGCAGCGGCAGGCCUAACACAUGCAAGCGAGGGCAGCAGGGCGUAGCAAUACGCUGCUGGCGACCGGCGCACGGGUGCGUAACGCGUAUGCAACCUACCUUAACAGGGGGAUAACGGAGAGAAAUUUCCACUAAUACCCCGUAUAGAUGCGGAUUUCGCAUGUUUCUGCAUCGAAAGCCUUCGGGUGGUUAGGGAUGGGCAUGCGUGGCAUUAGGUAGUUGGCGGGCAACGGCCCACCAAGCCCACGAUGCCUAGGGGAGCUGAGAGGCUAAUCCCCCACACUGGUACUGAGACACGGACCAGACUCCUACGGGAGGCAGCAGUGAGGAAUAUUGGUCAAUGGAGGGAACUCUGAACCAGCCAUGCCGCGUGAGGGAUGAAAGGCCCUAUGGGUUGUAAACCUCUUUUGCCUGGGGGCAAUAAGGCUCAUGCGUGGGCUGAUGAGAGUACCAGGCGAAUAAGCAUCGGCUAACUCCGUGCCAGCCGCUGC
Molecule: ribosomal RNA, 499 nt
Filed under: uncultured bacterium
Lineage: Bacteria
Description: bacterial SSU rRNA
Rfam family: Bacterial small subunit ribosomal RNA
Source: RNAcentral